GCGCGGAAGAUGUAACGGGGCUAAACCAUGCACCGAAGCUGCGGCAGCGACACUAUGUGUUGUUGGGUAGGGGAGCGUUCUGUAAGCCUGUGAAGGUGUACUGUGAGGCAUGCUGGAGGUAUCAGAAGUGCGAAUGCUGACAUAAGUAACGAUAAAGCGGGUGAAAAGCCCGCUCGCCGGAAGACCAAGGGUUCCUGUCCAACGUUAA
This 208-nucleotide ribosomal RNA is filed under the name Escherichia coli. Its description in RNAcentral is "partial 23S ribosomal RNA". It matches the Rfam family "Bacterial large subunit ribosomal RNA", at positions 1161 to 1368 of the family's 2925-position model. The record is from RNAcentral. Lineage: Bacteria; Pseudomonadati; Pseudomonadota; Gammaproteobacteria; Enterobacterales; Enterobacteriaceae.